Molecule: ribosomal RNA, 469 nt
Filed under: uncultured Desulfobulbus sp.
Lineage: Bacteria; Pseudomonadati; Thermodesulfobacteriota; Desulfobulbia; Desulfobulbales; Desulfobulbaceae
Description: bacterial SSU rRNA
Rfam family: Bacterial small subunit ribosomal RNA
Source: RNAcentral
ACCCCGCACAAGCGGUGGAUCAUGUUGUUUAAUUCGAUGAUACGCGAGAACCUUACCUGGUCUUGACAUCCCGGAGACCCUUAGGAAACUAGGGGGUGCUUCCAUCUGGAAGAAUCUGGAGACAGGUGCUGCAUGGCUGUCGUCAGCUCGUGUCGUGAGAUGUUGGGUUAAGUCCCGCAACGAGCGCAACCCUUGCCUUUAGUUGCCAGCAGUUCGGCUGGGCACUCUAAAGGGACUGCCGGUGUUAAACCGGAGGAAGGUGGGGAUGACGUCAAGUCCUCAUGGCCUUUAUGACCAGGGCUACACACGUACUACAAUGGCCGAUACAAAGGGCAGCGACACUGCGAGGUGAAGCCAAUCCCGUAAAAUCGGUCUCAGUCCGGAUUGGAGUCUGCAACUCGACUCCAUGAAGUUGGAAUCGCUAGUAAUCGUGGAUCAGCAUGCCACGGUGAAUACGUUCCCGGGCCUU